RNAcentral lists this unclassified non-coding RNA (200 nucleotides) under Metarhizium sp. Its description in RNAcentral is "partial internal transcribed spacer 2". The record is from RNAcentral. Lineage: Eukaryota; Fungi; Ascomycota; Sordariomycetes; Hypocreales; Clavicipitaceae.
UUAAGUUCAGCGGGUAUUCCUACCUGAUUCGAGGUCAACUUUAAAAAAGUUGGUGCGUUUUACGGCAGUGGCCGCGCCGCGCUCCAGCUGCGAGAUUUGUGCUACUACGCAGAGGGAGGCCGCGACGAGGCCGCCAAUUCAUUUCGGGGGCGGCCCGGCGCCUGCUACGGCAGCAGCAGGGCACCAGUUGGCCGGUCCCC